RNAcentral lists this ribosomal RNA (513 nucleotides) under uncultured bacterium. RNAcentral describes it as "bacterial SSU rRNA". It matches the Rfam family "Bacterial small subunit ribosomal RNA", at positions 28 to 528 of the family's 1533-position model. The record is from RNAcentral.
GAUGAACGCUAGCGAUAGGCCUAACACAUGCAAGUCGAGGGGCAUCACAUGAAGUAGCAAUACGGAUGGUGGCGACCGGCGCACGGGUGAGUAACACGUAUGCAACCUGCCUUCAACAAGGGGAUAACCCGUUGAAAGACGGACUAAUACCCUAUAACACAGGGGUCCCGCAUGGGGAAUAUUUGUUAAAGGACAACCGGUUGAAGAUGGGCAUGCGUUCCAUUAGCUAGUUGGCGGGGUAACGGCCCACCAAGGCAACGAUGGAUAGGGGAACUGAGAGGUUUAUCCCCCACACUGGUACUGAGACACGGACCAGACUCCUACGGGAGGCAGCAGUGAGGAAUAUUGGUCAAUGGACGCAAGUCUGAACCAGCCACGUCGCGUGAAGGAAGACGGCCCUACGGGUUGUAAACUUCUUUUGCAAGGGAAUAAAGUGGGCCACGUGUGGCCUUUUGCAAGUACCUUGCGAAUAAGGAUCGGCUAACUCCGUGCCAGCAGCCGCGGUAAUUACGC